Octopus bimaculoides (California two-spot octopus) is the source of this 1975-nucleotide long non-coding RNA. RefSeq lists it as uncharacterized. The record is from RefSeq and is a predicted model, not a curated record. Lineage: Eukaryota; Metazoa; Mollusca; Cephalopoda; Octopoda; Octopodidae.
AACAGGACAUCCUCUGGUAAGGACAUGACAUCCUAGACUCCUUUAGCAACAUAAAGACACAAUAACUCAAAUAUCAUGGAAACAGUAUCAUUUUUCAACAUCUCAUUGUGAACAAUACAUGAUAACUAAAGCUAUCAAAGACACUACAAAUACAUGGUUUUACAUUCUCUGGUGAUGUUUCAUGACCUUACACACACAUGCACACACACACACCUGUUAUCCUAUGGUCUAUAUCUGUCUAUAUCUAUACAGAUAUACACAGGCCUGAGCUAGGUCUUUUGCGGAAGACUGACAGUUGCCCAUGCAUGCAAGUCUCUUGUCUCCAUGUCACUGACACUGUCCAAAGAAAGGCUUGCUGCUUCCAUGCUGACAUAACCUAACACCAGUGUUUGUUGAAAACAUUUAGUGUCAGAAUAAAAAGAGCCAGAACAGAUAAAGCAUACCGUUUGAUGUUAUAACAGUUCUACUGAUCCAUAACCCGAGAUUAGUAUAGUUUUAUUGGCCCUGAAAGGAAGAAAGAUUAAGCUGCCCCUAUAACUGAGAGAGAACGGGAGCGAGGAUGGUCAGAGAAUGAGGACUGUAAUGAUGGAAAGGAUGACAGUCGUAGUUGUGAUGGUGGUGAUGAUGAAGAUGGUGGCAGUAAUAACAAAGAUGAUGACAAUGUUAAUGAAGAGGAUGAUAAAGUUGGAAACAACAAAGAUAAUGAAGAUAGCACUAAUAAUUAUUGUGGAAAUGCCUAACAAAUACAAUCAACAGUUAGCGCAUGAGUUAAAACAUUGCAAAAGUCACUGGAUUGUGGCAAUGCUGGGGAAACCACCUUGAAGGUUUUACUCAAGAAAAAUUGACCUUAGAACUUAUUUUUUAAAGUUUGGUUCUAUAUGGAACUGUUUAAUCAUGCCAUGUACAAAAGAAGCCUUGGAACUGUCUGAAUUUCAAAGAGGCCAUAUUGUGGGUCAUUCUGAAGGUGGACAUAGUGUAAAAUAGCAGAAAGCCUCAGAAUCCCACUUUCUACAGUUAAUAGAGUGAUUAUGCAAUUCAUCAAAGAGGGGAAGGAGUCAACAUUACCUUGUCCAGAUCAACCAGGGCCCUCUGACAGAACCUUUCUUUACCUUAGAGAAGUGUGGAGGAUAAUCCUCACUGCAAGGCCUCUGACAUAGCAGAGCAAGUUAAUGCCAGUUUCAGAACAGCUGUCAGGUAUCUUCACAAACUUGGUUACUAUGGCAGAGCAGCAAGAAGGAAGCCACUUCUUCGACCAGCCAGCAUCAAGCAGAGAAAAGAUUGGGCCAGUGAGAUGGUGGAGAGGCCAUUAGAAUUUUGGGACACUGUCAUAUUCUCUGAUGACUCCAGAUUUACUGUAUUUCCUGACAGUGGUUCAGUGUGGGUCUGGAGACUCUGUGAUAAGAAUUUGAUGUGAAAAGGUUACAGCUAACGAUGAAAUACAGCAGCUAUUCUGUGAUGGUCUUGGGAACAAUUUGGAGCAAUGGUUGAUCAGAGCUGGUGGAGUGGGAGGGAAACAUAAACUCAGAUAAAUAUGUGUCCAUAUUGCAGAAAGAACUUCCAAUCUUCUCUACUAGUGAAAUGAUUAAAGAAGACUCUUUAUUUAUGGAAGAUGGUGCUCCUUGUCACACGGCUAGAAUGACCCAAGAUUUGUUGGAUGAGAAUGGCAUUAAAAAACUUCCAUGGCCAAGCCAGUCACCAGAUAUGAAUCCUAUUGGACAUCUCUGAGUCAUAAUGAGCAGGACACUUCAUACUUUCAAGUGCUUUAACACCCAGUGCCAUAUGACCAAAUCACAGCCUACUGGCAAAUACAUGAAGCCUUAACACAUGCCAGCAUGGAAAGCAAAUAAACAAUGAUGGUGACGAUGAUUAAAUAUAUAUAUAUAUAUAUAUAUAUAUAUAUAUUUGAAUAUCACACUGAUUUUUUUAAUUUUAUAAGCAGGUCCAUGGGUAAUAAAGAUACUAAAUUAAAAAAUAG